UACACACCGCCCGUCACACCAUGAGAGUUUGUAACACCCGAAGCCGGUGGCGUAACCCUUUUAGGGAGCGAGCCGUCUAAGGUGGGACAAAUGAUUAGGGUGAAGUCGUAACAAGGUAGCCGUAGGAGAACCUGCGGCUGGAUCACCUCCUUUCUAAGGAA
This 161-nucleotide ribosomal RNA is filed under the name Lacticaseibacillus rhamnosus. RNAcentral's name for it is "Lactobacillus rhamnosus partial 16S ribosomal RNA". It matches the Rfam family "Bacterial small subunit ribosomal RNA", at positions 1384 to 1533 of the family's 1533-position model. The record is from RNAcentral. Lineage: Bacteria; Bacillati; Bacillota; Bacilli; Lactobacillales; Lactobacillaceae.